This is an RNA transcript of Strigops habroptila (Kakapo), 6670 nucleotides long. It is a transcript of the gene named leucine rich repeat containing 8 VRAC subunit A, with no coding region annotated. Lineage: Eukaryota; Metazoa; Chordata; Aves; Psittaciformes; Psittacidae. The record is from RefSeq and is a predicted model, not a curated record. The transcript is spliced from 5 exons.
GGGUGGGGCCGCCCCGGUGCGGUUAGGGACGAACAAAAGGAGCCGGAGCCGGCGUGAGGGAGGGCGGAGGCCAGGGAAGCUGUUCCCAUGGCGUGUGGGGAAUGCAACGGUUCAGCACCUGCUCAGGAUCCAGCACGCAGGAAUAUCAUCCACUUCCAGCACAGAGAACUGAAGUGCAGAUAGCAGAACCCAGCUGCAGGGUGAAUCAUGAUUCCAGUCACUGAGUUGCGCUACUUUGCUGACACCCAGCCCGCGUACCGCAUCCUGAAGCCAUGGUGGGACGUCUUCACCGACUACAUCUCCAUAGUGAUGCUGAUGAUUGCAGUGUUUGGAGGGACACUUCAGGUCACCCAGGACAAAAUGAUUUGUCUGCCCUGUAAAUGGAUUACCAAAGACUCUUGCAAUGACUCAGUCAGAGGUUGGACAGCUGCAACCCCAGAGCGUACCUACUAUAACUCUAGUCUUGUUCCCUCUACUGAUAUAGGGCCUACAGGGAUACGAUACGAUUUGGACCGGCACCAGUAUAACUACGUGGAUGCGGUGUGUUAUGAGAACCGUCUUCACUGGUUUGCCAAGUAUUUUCCUUAUCUGGUGCUGCUACAUACUCUCAUCUUCCUGGCAUGUAGCAACUUCUGGUUCAAAUUCCCAAGGACCAGCUCCAAGCUGGAGCAUUUUGUGUCUAUUUUGCUUAAGUGUUUUGACUCUCCAUGGACAACAAGGGCAUUAUCUGAGACAGUGGUGGAAGAGAGUGAUACCAAGCCAGCAUUUGGGAAAAUGAAUGGCUCAAUGGACAAGAAAUCCUCCACGGUCAGUGAGGAUGUGGAAGCCACUGUUCCUAUGCUGCAGAGAACAAAGUCUCGGAUUGAACAAGGGAUUGUGGACCGGUCUGAGACUGGUGUCUUGGACAAGAAGGAGGGUGAACAGGCCAAAGCACUCUUUGAGAAAGUGAAGAAGUUCCGCACACACGUGGAAGAGGGAGAUAUAGUUUAUCGCUUGUACAUGAGACAGACCAUCAUCAAAGUGAUCAAGUUCAUUCUGAUCAUCUGCUAUACUGUUUACUAUGUCAACAACAUAACUUUUGAUGUUGACUGUAAAGUGGACAUUGAGAGCUUGACUGGCUACAGGAUGUACCGCUGUGCUCAUCCUUUGGCCACUCUCUUCAAGAUUCUGGCCUCUUUCUACAUCAGUCUGGUGAUAUUCUAUGGCUUGAUCUGCAUGUACACACUCUGGUGGAUGUUGAGGCGAUCACUCAAGAAAUACUCCUUUGAGUCCAUCCGGGAGGAGAGCAGUUACAGUGACAUCCCUGAUGUGAAAAAUGACUUUGCUUUUAUGCUCCAUCUGAUUGAUCAGUAUGACCCCCUCUACUCCAAGCGCUUCGCUGUCUUUCUGUCGGAGGUGAGUGAGAACAAACUGCGGCAGCUGAACCUCAACAAUGAGUGGACUUUGGAGAAGCUGCGUCAAAGGAUCACCAAGAACUCCCAGGAUAAGCUGGAACUGCAUCUUUUCAUGUUGAGCGGCAUCCCUGACACGGUUUUUGACCUCAUUGAGUUAGAGGUCUUGAAGCUGGAGCUUAUCCCUGAUGUCACUAUUCCCCCAAGCAUUGCUCAGCUCACCAGCCUUAAGGAACUGUGGCUCUACCACACAGCUGCCAAAAUUGAGGCUCCAGCUCUUGCCUUCUUAAGGGAGAAUUUGAAAUCUCUCCACAUCAAGUUCACAGACAUUAAGGAGAUUCCACUUUGGAUUUAUAGCCUGAAGACACUAGAGGAGCUUCAUUUGACAGGGAAUUUGAGUGCUGAAAACAACCGGUACAUUGUGAUAGAUGGCUUGAGGGAACUGAAGAGGCUGAAGGUGUUGAGGUUGAAGAGUAACCUCACCAAGCUGCCGCAGGUGGUGACAGAUGUUGGCGUGCAUCUUCAGAAGCUUUCCAUCAACAAUGAGGGCACCAAGCUUAUUGUUCUCAACAGCCUUAAGAAAAUGGUCAACUUGACAGAGCUUGAGCUGAUCCGUUGUGACUUGGAACGAAUUCCUCACUCUAUCUUUAGCCUCCACAAUCUGCAGGAGAUAGACCUGAAGGACAACAACCUAAAGACCAUUGAGGAAAUCAUCAGCUUCCAGCACUUACAUCGUCUCACUUGCCUUAAAUUGUGGUACAACCACAUUGCCUACAUCCCCAUGCAGAUAGGCAACCUCACUAACUUAGAGCGCCUUUACCUGAACCGUAACAAGAUAGAGAAGAUCCCCACCCAGCUCUUCUAUUGCCGGAAACUUCGCUAUUUAGAUCUCAGCCACAACAACUUGACUUUUAUACCACCAGAUGUUGGACUUCUUCAAAACCUGCAGAAUCUGGCUGUGACAGCCAACAGGAUUGAGAGUCUCCCACCAGAGCUGUUCCAGUGCAGGAAGCUGAGAACAUUGAACCUGGGAAACAAUGUGCUGCAGUCACUUCCAUCCCGGGUUGGAGAGCUCACAAACCUGUCACAGAUAGAACUACGAGGGAACCGCUUGGAGUGCCUGCCUGUGGAGCUGGGGGAAUGUCCUCUGCUGAAACGCAGUGGGCUUGUGGUAGAGGAGGACCUGUUCAACACACUGCCCUUGGAAGUCAAAGAGCGGCUGUGGAGGGCAGACAAAGAGCAAGCGUGAACCCCUGAAAAAAAGGGAAAAGCCUCUGACCAGCUAGAAGGAAACAAAAGGCCAUUCCAGUCCCCUUUUUCCCCAGAUCCUUCCCUUUCUCCCCUCUGAUCACUACCAGACUAGCCAAGGAGUCCCUGAAUAAACAUGACUCUGAGGCUGCCUCUUGCCUCAGAUGCAGGAUGGGGGAAGCUUGGGAUCAGGAUGAGGAUCAAGACAGAUUAGUUGGCCUCUGAGCAAGGGCCAGUGAGAGUAGGAGGUGUUGCUGUUCUUCUGGACAGGAAGUGGGAUGAGGUGGAUGGUGCUGCUGAGAAGAAAAUGACCUUUGAAUAGAGGAGAGAAGGAAAUGUGGGGAUUGCUGCAUUGCUCCAAAUAGGGCUUAUACAUGUCAGGGACUGAGAAUGUCCAGUGUCCUGCAAGCAAAGAUCAAGAGACUAGGAAACCUCUUGAGCCUCCAUCUCUGUGGCACUUGGUACUGUCUCCCUCUGACUCAGAGAUUCAGUCAGUGAGGCCCUGCAGUGGGGUGGGAUGGGAUACAAACAGCUCACUUCAUCUUGAUGCUGGCAUUAGGAUUUGGGGGAUAAGUUUAUCUCGGACAUGAGCCUGAAUGCAGGAUUUAUUUUUUUUUUUUACUAAUUCUUUCCCCUUUGCACUCCCCACCUUCUCCUCUGCCUCUGGAGAAGGAACCAAACCCCCCCCCCAAGCUCUUAUCUGCUCAUUUAAGAUUGCACUAUUUUAACACUUCCAAGUCACUUGUGCUGAUGAGUGUAUCACACAGCAUCAUUCUCCAGCUGCUGUGCUGGAGGCACUAACUGACAUAAUUCCAGGGCUUUAGCCUGUUCUGAAAUGGAUGGUUAUAGUGAAAGUGGGAGAAGAUCUGAAUAAAAAGCAGUUGGACUGUCUAAUCUGUUCUCCCCGAAGCAUUGAGUAGCUUCAGGACCUGGCUUUUAAAGUUUUUAAGCUACUUUUAAAUUCGUGGUAUUUUGUCACAUAUCAAAUAUGAACAUACAACUGGCCCGUGUGUCAGGGUCUCUCCUGGGGUUGGUGGUGUUAGUAAAGAGGAAUACCCAGGUUUCCUCUGCACCUCUUGCCCUCCCCCCCUGCUUUCUCCCCUUAAGUUGUUAGAGGCUUUGCCAGUGUUUUUCAUGAAUGCAGUCUACAGAUCUGCUUGGUUGUUCUUUACUGUUGUCUUCCUCACUUCAGCAGCUGUCAGAUCCUGUGACAUCUCUUGACCUAAAUAAGAGGCUAAUGCUGAUUGAACCUGGUGCUGGAAAAGAAACCUGCCCUCCUUUUUCUUCUGCUUUUCAUUCCCUCAAGUGUUAAGGAGCGGUAUGAGAAUCCUCUGUGGACUGAGCUCUUCUAGAUCCCUGGGACAGAGCAGUCUUUAUUGAAACAAGUCUGACCUGUUUGGUAUUGUCUGACCAAAAAAACCCCAAGCUUCUGCACUGGCAGAGGUAGAUAACUUGUAAUAGCUACUGAUAAUCAUGUCCUUAAGGUGGAGUGGUUAAGGUGUGCCUACAAUACACCCUAAGUCUGCUCUUUUCCAUCAGAAGGAAGAAGGAGGCUCAUGGACCUGCAGGUCCUGGUUACAAUACUCUGCAUCAGACCAACAGGUUGGCUCCAAGGUGCAGUGCUGCAAGCUGAGGCACGAGAAGUUUGGAGGCCUCCUGUGUGUACAAAAGGGGGGAAACUGCAGCCAUCUCCAGAGUGGUUUCUGGACAAGAUGCCAGCAAGUGCCCUGGCUUGGCAAAUUGUGGUGAUCCCUUGGAUGUUGGGGCAAUAAGGCACGCUGUGGCUUUCUUCAUCAGAUAUACAGAUUCCAGCAUAUCAGUCUCAUACGAUGAGAUGGAAGAAGCUUUUAAAACUUCAAGGAUAAGGUCUAAACUGUGAGGUCCUGAAUGCGUUUACUGCUCAGGACUGCUGCAAAACUCAACCCACAGCAGAGUGAGUCAUCAACUUCCCAUACAUCUGGAUUGUUCAGUCUUUGAGGGAUGAGCUUACAUCAAGGAUCCUUUCUCACUUGCAAGUAUCCAAUCAGUGUAUAUUAUAUUUUCCUUUAAGUUUCUAUCAAACUAAAGUUUAGGGGGUUUAUUUCUGACACUGAUCUGUGUGUUGAGAAAAUGUUCCAACUUAAGCAGACGAUCAAUGGUCUGGUCAGUGUCUUGUUCUUCUGACAGGCUUUUCAAAGCACUAUAGUAAUAACAAACCACAUUAUUUAUUAGCUGCUAAACCAGACAAGUUGAAUUAAAACCAACUGUUUCCUUAAUAGCACUUCUGAGCUGAAUGAGUUCUUGGAGCCCCUGUAGAUCACGAGCAUGCUCAUCCCAUGUUAGGACCAAAGGUUAGUAAAAUGGAAUUCUAUUCUUCCUGCUGAAUACCCCAAAAAGUAAUACAUUGCAACUAAUUAUUUUGAACCAGCUGAAAGGUAAAGAAUACCAAACCUUGGAAAUGUGUUCAAUAUUGCUGCAUCUCUGAAACUGUGCACUGGAAUGUUAGCUGCAGUUAUUCUAUGUUUAAGUUUGUUUUCUGCUUUUAUUAUAUGGCCCCCAGUUAACUCAGCAGCUGGAAUUCAUUUUCUCUGCCAGUUUGAAUGGUUACAGGUAUCUUUCAUGAUGUGGUUUCUUUGGUAUUAAUUGUCACUUCCUGGGAAUAUCCUACCUCAUUUUUUAGUUUUAUUACCAUUUAUACAUCAUUUAGCUCACUUAAUUUUCAAGUUUUUGGUGUUCAUUACCAUAAAUAGUAUUAAGUGGCUUUCUGUUGCUGAACCACACUGAGGUCCUCUUAUUUUUUUACCCCUCUCUAACAAAUGAUUCUAGGAAUUCUGAGAACAAUAACACAUCCUUUACAGAGGAUGAGGUGUACGGAAAGAAGUUGCAACCAUUAUUGAUUCAACAGCUGUGACAUUGUUUCCUUUCCUUACCUUUUGUCUGCUUUGGAAAGGGACUCGCGUGGUUGGAGUUCUUUGGAUGGUUGAAAUUUUAGUUGUCCUUCAGAGGAGGAGUAACUUUUCUUCCUCAUUAAUAGCUGUGCCUUCUCUAGAGAGACAUUAAUGUAACCUUUCCACAGAGGCACUUGCUCCUUCGAGUGUGUUUGGACUAGUCUCUGCCUGAAGCCAGCUCUUCCCUCUGAUUCUUUUUCUUUCAACCAUGGAGAGAUUUCUUACCUUUUGGCCUGACGUCUCCCUAACAAACAAUAUUGUCGUUCCAUAAACUCUACUCCAAAACAGGGUAAAGUCAUCUACUCUGAAAUGUUACUGAAGGUAAGGCUGUGUGAAUGAUAACUAGUACAACCAUUGCUUAAACUUCACUUCUUUUUUUCUUCUCACGUUUUAGAAGGAAACUUCUUUCCCCACUGUUUGGCCACACAGUGGAUCCUGUAGUGUCACUAUGUAUGUGCCAAAACAGUUUUCUGUCCUACCUGCAUUCUUACAGAGCGUGAAGCAGAGCUGGGUCUGCACAAGAGCAUUGACUCAGACCUUUCUCCCUCCAGCUGCAGUGGUAGGUUAAUGUUCAACUGCUCCAGCAGCAUGAAAUCCUCCAGGUAUCUCUGCUCUGAAAUCCCAUUUCAAAAGUAGCUGUAUUUGAAUUGCUGGACCCCCAGUAGCAAAGGUGAAUUCACACAAAGAAAGGCUUAACUUAGGAUUUCUGGACUUGCCCUUCCCUUCUUCCCUCUCAGUCUCCUUUAAAGGAAUUUUAUUGAACAAUGGGGAAUUUUUUCUAGAGGAGACUUAAUGAGAAGGGGGCUAACGAGCCUGAGUCAUCCUUUAUAGCUGACAAAUGUGUCCAUUUAAGACGCUACUCAUGGCUUAAACAUUGUUCACUCCCAUUUUGUAAAUGCAUGAGCAGGGUUGUGGUUUGGCAUCCGAGACCUGCAACUUGAUGUAACAUUUCAGAAUCAUGACAUUCACUUUGUGUGUGGGAUUGUUUGGGCAGCUGAUCAACAGCACCUCCACCUUAAGCACUGAAGGCUGCUACUGUGUUCUCUGAAAGACUUGUAAGACUGGACACUUUAACAGAAUAAAAGUUUUACUUUUUGAUUUGCA